AGUGAACGCUGGCGGUAGGCCUAACACAUGCAAGUCGAACGGCAGCACAGGAGAGCUUGCUCUCUGGGUGGCGAGUGGCGGACGGGUGAGGAAUACAUCGGAAUCUACUCUGUCGUGAGGGAUAACGUAGGGAAACUUACGCUAAUACCGCAUACGACCUACGGGUGAAAGCAGGGGAUCUUCGGACCUUGCGCGAUUGAAUGAGCCGAUGUGGGAUUAGCUAGUUGGCGGGGUCAAGGCACACCAAGGCGACGAUCCGUAGCUGGUCUGAGAGGAUGAUCAGCCACACUGGAACUGAGACACGGUCCAGACUCCUACGGGAGGCAGCAGUGGGGAAUAUUGGACAAUGGGCGCAAGCCUGAUCCAGCCAUACCGCGUGGGUGAAGAAGGCCUUCGGGUUGUAAAGCCCUUUUGUUGGGAAAGAAAUCCAGCUGGCUAAUACCCGGUUGGGAUGACGGUACCCAAGGAAUAAGCACCGGCUAACUUCGUGCCAGCAGCCGCCGUAA
Molecule: ribosomal RNA, 506 nt
Filed under: uncultured bacterium
Lineage: Bacteria
Description: partial 16S ribosomal RNA
Rfam family: Bacterial small subunit ribosomal RNA
Source: RNAcentral